AAACUUCUCAAAAACCAUGAUCAAGAAUAUUUUGAUGUGUGUGGCUUUUGGAUGGAUGGGGGUUUUUGCAGGCUUUGAAAAAACAAGUCAGCUCUCCUGAAAUGUAUUAGUGGUAUCUGAGGGACUACUUUGGGCAUGAUAAAUUUGUCUAUGUCUUUUCUUGAGUGGUCUCAAUACGAAACGCUUUGUUGGCAACUUUUUUG
RNAcentral lists this unclassified non-coding RNA (203 nucleotides) under uncultured Inocybe. RNAcentral's name for it is "sequence contains ITS2". Lineage: Eukaryota; Fungi; Basidiomycota; Agaricomycetes; Agaricales; Cortinariaceae. The record is from RNAcentral.